AUUGAACGCUGGCGGCAUGCCUUACACAUGCAAGUCGAACGGCAGCACGGGAGCAAUCCUGGUGGCGAGUGGCGAACGGGUGAGUAAUAUAUCGGAACGUGCCCAGUCGUGGGGGAUAACGUAGCGAAAGCUACGCUAAUACCGCAUACGAUCUACGGAUGAAAGCGGGGGAUCGCAAGACCUCGCGCGAUUGGAGCGGCCGAUGUCAGAUUAGGUAGUUGGUAGGGUAAUAGCCUACCAAGCCGAUGACGGGUAGCCGGCCUGAGAGGGUGACCGGCCCGAGGGGCACUGAGAUACGGGUCCCACUCCUACGGGAGGCAGCAGGCUAGAAAUUUGGGCAAUGGGGGAAACCCUGACCCAGUGACGCCGCGUGCAGGAAGGAACCCUUCGGGGUGUAAACUGCUGUCGUGUAGGGAGAAGGGUACUAAAGGUGAACAAUCUUAGUACUUGACGGUACUACAGGAGGAAGCCCAGGCUAACCUCGUGCCAGCAGCCGCGGUAAGAGUACUCUA
Molecule: ribosomal RNA, 512 nt
Filed under: uncultured bacterium
Lineage: Bacteria
Description: bacterial SSU rRNA
Rfam family: Bacterial small subunit ribosomal RNA
Source: RNAcentral